GCCUUGCCAAUAAUAUCAACUCAUCCUAGAUACCAGGAUUCAAAUUUUCUACGCCAGACGCGCGUUUCGCCUACUAUAGAAUCAUUAGUGACGCUCAAACCAAAAGAGUUAAAAAGACAGAAUAAAGUACGAAUUUGAAGAGCAUUGAGGACCCAAAAUCCUGAAAGAUUUUGCCAAAUACAGUUUAGGUAGAAAAUCCUUAGUUUUUCGAAAAAAUCAUAGUUUGGUAAACAUUUAAUCUAUAUUAUGACCAUAUCAAUGAUAAUUCAUGUCAACACAGAAGUGCUGACUAUUGGGCUGAUGACAUAAGAGACCAAAAUAGAUUUACCCAAUAAAUGCAUUUUGAAUCAUGCUACUGCGCAUGUUGCUGUCGUAAUGAAUAAUGAUAAAAUGGUUCAUUAUAUGCUAAGAUCUAUUUUUAAAAAGUAUUAACCAAUCAUAUCACACCACAAACAUAGAAAACAUCUAUUAAACACUAGAAAAGUGACAACAGUAAUUAUUUUGCACCAUUUUAAGAUAUUGGUACAUUUUAGUCAUGGUGUUUUAUGACAACAAAUUUUUUGCAGGCUAAACGCAGCAAAGGGUGAAUUUCAAAUUAGGAAAAAAAUAGAAUAAGACGAAGAGGAGCAGACAGUAAAAAUAUACCAUGGGGAGAGACACAGACAGGUUAAGCAUCAUUAGCAUGAACGCUUCUGGAAGAAAGGGCAGGGAGUUUCAGGAUUAUCGAAAGUCUUAUCUAAACGAUGUAGUCGGACAAAAUCAACCCGACAUACUAUUUUUGCCGGGAGACGAGCCUGAUAUGUCAUCACCAGUGUUAACGGACUAUCGUCAAGCACAAGUCGUUCACAAUAACGAGACUGUACUUUUGUACGAUACGAAGAGAUUGCAAUUGCAAACCGAAAACUGGUAUAAUCUGAUACCAUCGUUAGUGGUUCCUGGCAUCGAACAGGGCAAAUUGAUGUAUCCCUUAGUCAACAUCUUGGCUCCUAAACCCACUCAACAUAUUGUCAAGCAGUUCCAUUGUAUCAGUUGGCAUUGGGAGCUUACGCAAACAACAUCCCAGGAACUGUAUACGUUUGCCUCCUGCUAUUUAUGGUUGGCACAAUAUCUUGGAUGGAGUCAUGGAGUAGAGAUUUUGAUAGGAGGCGAUUUUAAUUUAAAACGUCCACAGAUACAACAACUCGUAGAUGAACAUAAUCAAAAAGUUCAAAAUUCAAUUGAUAAUGUUAAACCUUUCUUCAGAGAAAUGGGCUUUUUGGAUGACAUGACAGAUAAUGUACAUCGGCCAGGACGUCGGCUCCGACAACUUAAGCUUCACCAGUGUAAGUCUGUAGCAGGUAUCAAUCAAGAAACGGACUACUUCGUUGCAUCAAAAGAAAUGCAGUUAUGUAAAACUGAAAUGAUGACUGCAUCCACACUUCCAGGAAGAUGUACCACACUAACAUUAACCAAGCCAGCUAAUCAGAGUUACUGUCCUUUGCCAACGAAGACAGAAAUGUGCAUUCCAGCAAGGCCACCCAGACACAAUGGUGGUUAACUUAGUUUUGCUUAACAUUUAAAGUCAAGAGCACACACUUUUCUAUUAUUAUUUAUAACAUUAUCAUAAAUGUCGUUGUUUGAUUCAGUUUUCUUAUGAGUUAGGGUAUAUAGUUUGUUAAAAAAAAUGGGGAACAACUCUCCGAAAUAAUUAAUAAAAUUAAAAUGUUAAAACUGUCCGUUUCAUUUUCCUAUAUGUAUUAUUCUAGUUUCUCUACUGAAAUAUGACAAAUGAGUUCAUGCUGUAGAUGUGAAUUAUGUCGGAAAAAACUGCUACUAGACACACAGACAUGAAUAUUGUGUCUUAAAUUUUCUUAUUCAGAACUUAAACUUACCCCCUACAGCAUAUUGAUGUAUUAUUUGGAAUUUUAAUAUGAUUAUGAAGCGGCCUGUUUGUGUUCAAUCGACAGCAUGUAAUUACUCUGUUAAUCUGGGUACCUUUUUUGCCAAUAAAACAAUACUGUUUAA
Molecule: long non-coding RNA, 2004 nt
Organism: Mytilus californianus (California mussel)
Lineage: Eukaryota; Metazoa; Mollusca; Bivalvia; Mytilida; Mytilidae
Exons: 2
Source: RefSeq, a predicted model, not a curated record